UACGUAGGGCGCAAGCGUUAUCCGGAAUUAUUGGGCGUAAAGAGCUCGUAGGCGGUUUGUCGCGUCGGCCGUGAAACCUGCAGCUUAACUGUGGGCGUGCGGUCGAUACGGGCAUCACUGGAGUUCGGCAGGGGAGACUGGAAUUCCUGGUGUAGGCGGUGAAAUGCGCAGAUAUCGGGAGGAACACCAGUGGCGAAGGCGGCGAUCUGGGAAGAUACGUGACGCUGGAGGUGCGAAA
This 238-nucleotide ribosomal RNA is filed under the name uncultured bacterium. RNAcentral describes it as "partial 16S ribosomal RNA". It matches the Rfam family "Bacterial small subunit ribosomal RNA", at positions 524 to 758 of the family's 1533-position model. The record is from RNAcentral.